GGUCAAGUGAAGAAGCGCAUACGGUGGAUGCCUUGGCAGUCAGAGGCGAUGAAAGACGUGGUAGCCUGCGAAAAGCUUCGGGGAGUCGGCAAACAGACUGUGAUCCGGAGAUGUCUGAAUGGGGGAACCCAGCCAUCACAAGAUGGUUAUCUUACACUGAAUACAUAGGUGUAAGAGGCGAACCAGGGGAACUGAAACAUCUAAGUACCCUGAGGAAAAGAAAUCAACCGAGAUUCCCUUAGUAGUGGCGAGCGAACGGGGACCAGCCCUUAAGUUGUAUUGAGAUUAGCGGAACGCUCUGGAAAGUGCGGCCAUAGUGGGUGAUAGCCCUGUACGCGAAAAUCCCUUUGCAAUGAAAUCGAGUAGGACGGGGCACGAGAAACCUUGUCUGAAUAUGGGGGGACCAUCCUCCAAGGCUAAAUACUACUGACUGACCGAUAGUGAACCAGUACCGUGAGGGAAAGGCGAAAAGAACCGCGGAGAGCGGAGUGAAAUAGAUCCUGAAACCGUAUGCGUACAAGCAGUGGGAGCCCACUUUGUUGGGUGACUGCGUACCUUUUGUAUAAUGGGUCAGCGACUUAUUUUCAGUGGCGAGCUUAACCGAAUAGGGGAGGCGUAGCGAAAGCGAGUCUUAAUAGGGCGUCUAGUCGCUGGGAAUAGACCCGAAACCGGGCGAUCUAUCCAUGGGCAGGUUGAAGGUUGGGUAACACUAACUGGAGGACCGAACCGACUACCGUUGAAAAGUUAGCGGAUGACCUGUGGAUCGGAGUGAAAGGCUAAUCAAGCUCGGAGAUAGCUGGUUCUCCUCGAAAGCUAUUUAGGUAGCGCCUCAUGUAUCACUGUAGGGGGUAGAGCACUGUUUCGGCUAGGGGGUCAUCCCGACUUACCAAACCGAUGCAAACUCCGAAUACCUACAAGUGCCGAGCAUGGGAGACACACGGCGGGUGCUAACGUCCGUCGUGAAAAGGGAAACAACCCAGACCGUCAGCUAAGGUCCCAAAGUCAUGGUUAAGUGGGAAACGAUGUGGGAAGGCUUAGACAGCUAGGAGGUUGGCUUAGAAGCAGCCACCCUUUAAAGAAAGCGUAAUAGCUCACUAGUCGAGUCGGCCUGCGCGGAAGAUGUAACGGGGCUCAAACCAUGCACCGAAGCUACGGGUAUCAUCUUAUGAUGAUGCGGUAGAGGAGCGUUCUGUAAGCCUGUGAAGGUGAGUUGAGAAGCUUGCUGGAGGUAUCAGAAGUGCGAAUGCUGACAUGAGUAACGACAAUGGGUGUGAAAAACACCCACGCCGAAAGACCAAGGUUUCCUGCGCAACGUUAAUCGACGCAGGGUUAGUCGGUCCCUAAGGCGAGGCUGAAAAGCGUAGUCGAUGGAAAACAGGUUAAUAUUCCUGUACUUCUGGUUAUUGCGAUGGAGGGACGGAGAAGGCUAGGCCAGCCUGGCGUUGGUAGUCCAGGUUUAAGGUGGUAGGCUGAGAUCUUAGGUAAAUCCGGGAUCUUAAGGCCGAGAGCUGAUGACGAGUGUUCUUUUAGAACAUGAAGUGGUUGAUGCCAUGCUUCCAAGAAAAGCUUCUAAGCUUCAGGUAACCAGGAACCGUACCCCAAACCGACACAGGUGGUUGGGUAGAGAAUACCAAGGCGCUUGAGAGAACUCGGGUGAAGGAACUAGGCAAAAUGGCACCGUAACUUCGGGAGAAGGUGCGCCGGUGAGGGUGAAGCAUUUACUGCGUAAGCCCACGCCGGUCGAAGAUACCAGGCCGCUGCGACUGUUUAUUAAAAACACAGCACUCUGCAAACACGAAAGUGGACGUAUAGGGUGUGACGCCUGCCCGGUGCCGGAAGGUUAAUUGAUGGGGUUAGCGCAAGCGAAGCUCUUGAUCGAAGCCCCGGUAAACGGCGGCCGUAACUAUAACGGUCCUAAGGUAGCGAAAUUCCUUGUCGGGUAAGUUCCGACCUGCACGAAUGGCGUAACGAUGGCGGCGCUGUCUCCACCCGAGACUCAGUGAAAUUGAAAUCGCUGUGAAGAUGCAGUGUAUCCGCGGCUAGACGGAAAGACCCCGUGAACCUUUACUAUAGCUUUGCACUGGACUUUGAAUUUGCUUGUGUAGGAUAGGUGGGAGGCUUUGAAGCGUGGACGCCAGUCUGCGUGGAGCCAACCUUGAAAUACCACCCUGGCAACUUUGAGGUUCUAACUCAGGUCCGUUAUCCGGAUCGAGGACAGUGUAUGGUGGGUAGUUUGACUGGGGCGGUCUCCUCCUAAAGAGUAACGGAGGAGUACGAAGGUGCGCUCAGACCGGUCGGAAAUCGGUCGUAGAGUAUAAAGGCAAAAGCGCGCUUGACUGCGAGACAGACACGUCGAGCAGGUACGAAAGUAGGUCUUAGUGAUCCGGUGGUUCUGUAUGGAAGGGCCAUCGCUCAACGGAUAAAAGGUACUCCGGGGAUAACAGGCUGAUACCGCCCAAGAGUUCAUAUCGACGGCGGUGUUUGGCACCUCGAUGUCGGCUCAUCACAUCCUGGGGCUGAAGCCGGUCCCAAGGGUAUGGCUGUUCGCCAUUUAAAGUGGUACGCGAGCUGGGUUUAGAACGUCGUGAGACAGUUCGGUCCCUAUCUGCCGUGGACGUUUGAGAUUUGAGAGGGGCUGCUCCUAGUACGAGAGGACCGGAGUGGACGAACCUCUGGUGUUCCGGUUGUCACGCCAGUGGCAUUGCCGGGUAGCUAUGUUCGGAAAAGAUAACCGCUGAAAGCAUCUAAGCGGGAAACUUGCCUCAAGAUGAGAUCUCACUGGAACCUUGAGUUCCCUGAAGGGCCGUCGAAGACUACGACGUUGAUAGGUUGGGUGUGUAAGCGCUGUGAGGCGUUGAGCUAACCAAUACUAAUUGCCCGUGAGGCUUGACCAUAUAACACCCA
This 2904-nucleotide ribosomal RNA is filed under the name Pseudomonas syringae pv. theae ICMP 3923. RNAcentral's name for it is "bacterial LSU rRNA". It matches the Rfam family "Bacterial large subunit ribosomal RNA". The record is from RNAcentral. Lineage: Bacteria; Pseudomonadati; Pseudomonadota; Gammaproteobacteria; Pseudomonadales; Pseudomonadaceae.